AUGGGGAAGAAGGCCGCCGCCGUGAUCUGCGGGACGGCGAGCGUCCUAGGCCUCCUCGCGGCUAUCCUAGGAUUCGCCGGCGAGGGCACCAAGUCCCAGUCGUUUGUUGGGUUCGACGGGGUGAGGUGCGUGUACCGGAGCACGGCGGCGCGGGGUUGCGGCGUCGCGGGCGCGCUGUUCCUCCUGGCGGCGCAGGUCCUCCUCGCCGCCGCCACCGGCUGCUCCGGCUGUUGCCGGCCAGAGACGCGGAAGAUCCCGUCCGAGACCAAGCGCGUCUUCGCCGUCGCCAUGUACAUCCUCUCAUGGAUCCUGAUGUUCAUCGCGGCGGCGCUGUUUUUCAUCGGCGCGAUGUGGAACACGGCCGGGAAGCGGAAGCCGGCGGAAGAGACCAGCACCGCCGAGGACUGCUACGUGCUGCAAACUGGGGUGUUCGCCACCGCGUCCGCGCUGUCCCUCAUCGUCGUCAGCUUCGGCAUCGGCUCCUACUUCCUGCUCGGAGCGUCGGCGCCGCCACGGGAGCAGCAGCCGGAGAUCGCUCUGGGGCAGCCGCCACCCUACUUCCAGGCCCAGCCCCAGCCCCACGGCGGCUAUCCGGCCGGUACCACCUGGCAGACACGCGUUUGA
Molecule: ribosomal RNA, 624 nt
Filed under: Triticum aestivum (bread wheat)
Lineage: Eukaryota; Viridiplantae; Streptophyta; Magnoliopsida; Poales; Poaceae
Description: partial small subunit ribosomal RNA
Source: RNAcentral